ACGAUCGCCUUCGUACUCAUAAGUUGUUUUCAAUGAUAGAGAUUCUGAAUCGAUGAUCCAUACCGUUAAAUAUUAUCUAGAGCAUUUAAAAUUUCUAGAAAUCAAAUUAUAAUUUUUCGAUAUUAUUUACCUUAUGAUCAAAAGCUCACAAAAUUGACAAUUUUUAACAGCCGGUAUGAGAUAUUUGCUAGUUUAACGUUGAAAAAGAAUCGGAAUACGUUGAAUUUUUUAUAGAAAAUUCUAUUCACUGCCUAAAUAAAGAUCAAUAACUCCGAUCUUAAAUUGAAGGAUCCGAUCAUCCAUUUUUAGGAUGUCAUUCGAUUUUAACCAUUCAUUUUAUACCCGCUUGAUGGACUUUAUAAAGAUUUUGAAAAAUUAC
This 379-nucleotide long non-coding RNA is filed under the name Ananas comosus (pineapple). RNAcentral describes it as "long non-coding RNA (ACOM_LNC026791)". Lineage: Eukaryota; Viridiplantae; Streptophyta; Magnoliopsida; Poales; Bromeliaceae. The record is from RNAcentral.